Macaca mulatta (Rhesus monkey) is the source of this 742-nucleotide non-coding RNA. The record is from RefSeq and is a predicted model, not a curated record. NCBI's taxonomy places the organism in Eukaryota, Metazoa, Chordata, Mammalia, Primates, Cercopithecidae.
AUACGCCUAAUACUCAAGUGUGAAUAACCAUAGUGUUUUUGUCAUUGUUUUAAUUUAAGAUGAUGGUCCAAGGGAAAAAAUGUCCAGUUCAGCCUGCAACUCAACAACUGUAAGAAAGCUUUUUUCCAAGAAAUAAUUGUAUUUCUAGAUGGCAUCAGUGGCAAUUUACACAUACUUCCCCUUUUAUCAACAGAACAUUAAGGCAGUUCUUUUAGGGUGUCUAUAAGUUGCCUGGGAAGUGGAUGAGUUUCAAACUGGCAAUACUCUGCCUUCCUCUGCUUUAACUGGAGAAACCCUGCUUAUUGGAGUAUCUGGAAGGAGGCUACACAGAAAUUAGCAGGAAAUAAGUGACAACAAAAUUUAUCAGUUAAGAAGUGACCAAAGAAUUAACUGCAACCCCCAUCUGGUGCACUAUCACAUGGUGAAGUGUUAAGUGACAAUAGCAAUUUUUGGGAAUCUGGUUCAGAGAAUCAUGAAAGACCAGUGGAGGCAUCACUGUGAGCAAGAGUAAUAACCACAAUAUUUAACCAUCAAUAGGAAGAGGACUUAAAGCAAUCAGAAUACAUCAACAUCAUCAACUAUGAUGGGAGCUUAUUUAUUUUAUUCUGUAGUUUUCUGGAAAAAUUACUUAACUUCUGAUUCUGACAAGACAGCAUGAAACUAUUCAAGUAAGUGUCUCUAAAAUGAUAAUUUUUAUAUCCAUGGCACUUCUCAAGAACUAUUGAUAUCAUCUCAUCUAAUG